GCACGGUGGAAGUUCAUGCCCUGGCGGAGGAAGCUACAAGACCUUGACAGAACCCUAACUACCAGGAUCAAUCUUCAAGUCUCUCAAGAGAAGCUGUCUCCAACCUUGGACCGUGUAUAGGCUAACAGUGCCCUGGCGUCACAAAGUGAUAAGAAGUGUGUUGCGGUGCUCAUACUUUGUGCUGGGAUCUUUGCCACCCUGUGCAAUGCAGCCUGCUCAAUAUCAGGUCCUCCAAAGCUAAAGGAGGGUGAAGAACUCAAGGGUUGUCUCCAUAAGGGAAAGUUAUAUGAACAUGGUACUACAUGGAGGGGGGAAGAUUGUUUGGACUGUUCCUGUGACUCAAAUGGAAUCAAGAGGUGUUGUACGAAUUUUGAGAGGCCCGUGAACUAUGACCCAGAAAGAUGUGUCUUCAUUUUUAAUAAGGAAACCUGUAAAUAUGAGCUAAUUCCUAAUGAAGAUCCUGAAAAACAAUGCUUGUCUUAUUCAAGUGUUGGCUGAAUACCAAGCUUAGAAGAUUAUCAAGAUCAAGAAAUUUUUUAUCAAACUUAUAAAAAUAUGUCUUAAAUGUGUUAAAAAGAUCUCUCUGCCAAAAGAAUAAACUCUGAUUU
Molecule: RNA transcript, 608 nt
Organism: Hyla sarda
Lineage: Eukaryota; Metazoa; Chordata; Amphibia; Anura; Hylidae
Gene name: beta-microseminoprotein-like
Exons: 5
Source: RefSeq, a predicted model, not a curated record